UAUCAGAUUCUGUACGAUUAUCGGGAUCCACGACGAAACCCCCCCUUCCCUGUCACCUCUCUCGAUUAUAACAGAUUCUCAUCAUCACAACAACUCUCUUACCAAGAGAUCCAACAAUGGACCCAGACCCGAAAACCCACCCGAUUCUCUCUUACGUCAUGGCCCGACUUCCCUCUCUCGGACACAAAUCCCCUGGCCCCUCCUUCGACAUCGAGCAACCACCACAGCCAUCACAACCACCACCACAAUCUCUAUUUCCUCAAUUAUCCGACCCGGCCCUCCUAUCUUCAAUGAGACGGGCUGUUGGCGAUGUUGCCCAAACCCGAUCGGUGCUCCAUACUCUAGGCCCCCGGCCCGACCAUGAAACCGUGGACACAGCGAAACUCAAACUCAGUGAAAUCGAGUCCAAUUUAUCGAAGCAAUUGGAGGAUCUUGUGCUUUCUCCGCGGCCAUGUGAGAUUGAUAGGUUAGAGUGGAGGGCGCAUUUGGCUGAGAAAGAGAAGAAGAUUCGAGAAGAGGCGGAGAAAGAGAUAGGGUUUUAUAAAAUGGUAUUGCAAUUGGAUGAAAUGCACAAGGAUUAUGAGAAGUUGUUGAAGGAAGCGGAGGAUAAGUUGGUGAAAAUUUAUAGGAUGGCGGAGCGAGGAGUGGAGGAAGAUAAGGAGGUGGAAGGAGUGGAGGUGGAGGAGGAGGUGGAGGUGGAGGUGACUGAGGAGGUUGUGGGAGUGUUGAGAGAGGGGAGCUCGAAAGGGAUCGAAAGAGUGGAUUUGUCGAAUCGGAGACUGAGGUUCUUACCUGAGGGAUUUGGGAGGGUUGUGGGGUUGAAAGUGCUUAAUCUUUCCAAUAAUCAACUUCAGGUCAUUCCUGAUUCAAUAACUGGGUUAGAAAUUCUUGAGGAGCUCAAUCUUGCUUCAAAUCUCUUAGAAGCACUGCCAGAUUCAAUUGGAUUACUGCAAAACUUGAAAAUCCUGGAUGUCUCUAGCAACAAGAUAGAGGUAUUGCCUGGCACCAUUUGUCAUUGCAGGUCGUUGCUGGAAUUGGAUGUGAGCUUCAACUGCCUGACAUACUUGCCGACUAAUAUUGGACAUGAAAUGUCGAAUCUUCAGAGGCUUUCGAUCCAGCUGAACAAGAUUUUUUCUCUUCCCACAUCUAUUGGUGAGAUGAGAUCUCUGCGCCACCUGGAUGCUCAUUUCAAUGAGCUUCGUGGCCUUCCCCUUGCUAUUGGGAAAUUGACAAAUCUUGAGAUCCUCAAUUUGAGUGGUAAUUUCAGUGACCUGAAAGAACUCCCUGAAACUUUUGGUGAUUUGACAAACCUCAAGGAACUUGAUCUCAGCAACAACCAGAUUUCUGCCUUGCCUGAUUCAUUUGGUCGGCUGGAUAAUUUGACCAAGCUCAACCUGGACCAAAAUCCCCUUGUAAUUCCGCCGCCAGAAGUUAUCAAGGAAGGGGUCGAGGCUGUGAAGAUUUUUAUGGCUAAGAGGUGGAUUGACAUACUGGUGGAGGAAGAAAGGAAGAGCACGCUUGAAGUACAAGAACAAGCACAGACUGGAUGGUUGACGCUCAGCACCUCAUGGUUGAAAACUUAUGCUACUGGUGUUUCUGCUACUGUUUCAGGAUUCUUAAGUCCGAGAGUUCCUAGAGAUCCUUAUCUUGAUCAACAGCUAUGACUUCCCAGUCUCUGAUAUUUCAAGAUCCAUUUCUUCUUGACAGCAUGUACAUUUGAUAUGAUUGAUGAGGUGGAUUUCUUCUGCUUGCAGUUUCUUUUGAAGCUGCAACGAUGCCAACUAGAAAGAGCUGCAAGUUCAGCAAAUUUUGCUCUUCUUCCACUCAGUCCUAUUCUGGUUUUGCCAGACAAUAAACAGCUAAUUUCAAGUACUUGUGCUACCUCUGGUCCAGCAACUGUGUCAUUAAAAAACAGCUCGGGCAGAGAGCAGGACUCCACCCUCAUGCAGGUUUAAAACCCUCGAGGCCUAGAUCAUUCCUGUAUAGAUUAGUGAAAAUAGAACAAUAAAAUUAAGUCCAGAAAAUCAAACAAUUAAGGUGUUGGUAAACAAUACGAUUGUAUAGAUUAUUUACUGGAAUACUCUUGAUAACGAAGGUGGUGUCAGCUGUAUCUGAUCCCGAGGUCGUGUGAAAUAAAUUAUAAGUUUGUGAACGUUUGUAUGAACAA
RNA transcript from Populus trichocarpa (black cottonwood), 2167 nucleotides. It is a transcript of the gene named plant intracellular Ras-group-related LRR protein 9, with no coding region annotated. The transcript has 4 exons. The record is from RefSeq and is a predicted model, not a curated record. Lineage: Eukaryota; Viridiplantae; Streptophyta; Magnoliopsida; Malpighiales; Salicaceae.